Cricetulus griseus (Chinese hamster) is the source of this 132-nucleotide small nuclear RNA. Ensembl annotates it as U11 spliceosomal RNA. The record is from Ensembl. Lineage: Eukaryota; Metazoa; Chordata; Mammalia; Rodentia; Cricetidae.
AAAACGGGCUUCUGUCAGGAGUGGCACACGUAGGGCAACUCGAUUGCUCUGUGUGCAGAAUUGACAUUAAGAGAUUUCAAAAGUCUGGUCUGAUUCCUUGGUGGCUGGUGGUUGUUGGUCCCCAAAACCAAC